AGGGGGGAGGGGGGAGGAAAGGUGAAGGGGACUUGGCGGACGGGGUGGGUUUGCUGGAGUCGCUCCCUCCCCGUCCGGGACAGGUUGGACUCCUCCCCGGCGCCGGCCCGCGGGACGGGACUGGAUCCUCCCUCCACCCCCGACACCUGCCCGCCUACAGUCCCGGAGCCGAGCCGAUCGGAGCCGCUUUAGUUCGAGCACCGCGGAGAGUGUGAGACAGUCCUGUUAGUCAACACUGUAAAUACUUUAGGUUCUGCCUGAGAACAUUGUCCCAACCAUCCCGGGGCAGACAGGAGCAAUGACUGAUGAUAGUGACUAACCUAUGCAGCAGGAAGGUCAAAUCCCCUCCCCGUCACUGGAGGCAUGGAGGUCGAAGGUGUGGUGACCAUGGCAACUGGUGACUUUCGCUCUCCUGGAUUGCCGCGGUACACCAAAGCGGGGCAGUCGAAGGGGGAGCGGAGGAUCGAGCUGGUGCUGCGGCGGCAGAAGAUGGAGGAGAACCUACGGAGGAAGAUCGGGGAGCUGAGGGCUCUGUGUCUGCGGGAGGCUGAGCUGACCGGCCAAUUGCCCAUGGAGUACCCGUUGGAACCUGGGGAGAAACCGCCACUGGUGAUUCGUCGUUCUGGAGGGGUGUACCGAGCCUCGGAACCGAGCGCCCAUUUGGGAGGGGCACGCCUGAGGGAGCUGGAGCGGCGGUUCGAGAUGCAGCAGCAGGCUGCUGUGUCAGCGCAGGGGCUAGGUGUGAGCGCGGACGGGAUGCGAGGCCGAUGGGUGCGCAGGUACGGACGCAGCCUGCAACACCGGCUCGGCGAUCCUGCCACGGAGCUUGGCCCGUCGUCUGCGUCCAGAGACGUGCGGGGAGACGGGCAGACCAUCGGCCGAGGAGACGGCUGGACUUUGCUGCCGACUGACAUCUACUACCAGACGCGAGGCAGACGGAAUUCCUACGCCAGUCCUGUACGGAUGCUCCAGAGAAGUAUGUCGGGGGCUGGCAGACGCAGUGAGCCCUGUUCUCCCAUCGUGUACCGGGACAGGGCAGGCAGGCACAGGCCCUCCCUGCCCAGUCCAUGUGCUGACGCCUGGGACCCCCCGCUCGAAUCCCGGAGUGAGACAGGGGCAGACCGAACGUCGGUGGCCGGCGGGACCCGGCGGAGCAGCAGCUCGGAGGUGCUGGGCAGGGCCUCGCGGGGCGGGGCUGGGAAUUCAGCACUCCGAUUGGCCGCGGGCCGCUGGCCGGAGCGGCCGCCUCCCCCAGGUCCUAAUGCCCGCCUGCCGGACCGGGACCGCGAGCUGCACCGGGCGCUGGCGCUCGAGGGACUGCGAGACUGGUACGUGCGGGCGGCGGGACAGCACCGGCGUCACCACACUACAGAUGCAGCGUGUAGUGUAAAUGUCCGUUAUGGCGGGAAGAGAGACCGCACGAUGAUCUUCUCAGCUGACCUCACUAUCCGCUGCAGGGUCUUGCGAUCCGAGAUGGUGCAAUUUCCGGACCAGGCAGUGAUGCAGCUGCUCAGGAUGCUCUCAAUACGACCCCUGUAGAAUGUGAUGGGGAUAGGGGGGUGGGGGGAGAUGGACUUCCCUCAGCCUUCGCAAAGCAGAGACGCUGCUGGGCUUUCUUUGCUAUGGAGCUGGUGUUGAGGGACCAGGUGAGAUUCUCCGCCAGGUGAACACCAAGAAAUUUGGUGCUCAGUUGCAAGGAACGUGGAUGAAGGCAAGACAGUAGAUGUUGUGUACAUGGACUUUAGCAAGGCAUUUGACAAGGUCCUGAUGGGAAGCUGGUAAAGAAAGUUCAGUCGCUCAGCAGUCAAGGUGAGCUAGUAAAUUGGAUUAGACAUUGGCUUUGUGGGAGUGUUAGUAGAUGGUUGCCUCUCUGACUGGAGGCCCGUGACUAGUGGUAUGCUGCAGGGAUCGGUGCUGGGUCCGUUAUUAUUUGUCAUCUGUCUCAAUGAUCUGGAUGAUAACGUGGCUAACUGGAUCAGCAAAUUUGUGGAUGACACCAAGAUUGGGGGUGUGGUGAACAGCAGGAAGGCUAUCAUGGCUUGCAGUGGGAUCUCAAAUGACUAGAAAAAUGGGUGAUGGAAUUUAAUGCAGACAAGUACAAGAUAUUGCACUUUGGGAGGACCAGCCAGGGUCGGUCUUACACAGUGAACGGGGGGGGGGGGCACUGAGGAGUGUGGUAGGACAAGGGAUCUGGGAAUACAGGAAUAAUUUAUUGAGUGGCAACACAGGUAGGUAGGGUCAUAAAGAAAGCUUUCAGGACAUUGGCAUUUAUAAAUCAAAGCACUGAGUACAGGAGAUGGGAUGUUAUGUUGAAGAUGUCGGUGAGGCCUAAUUUGGAGUGUUGUGUGCAGUUUUGGUCACCUAGCUACAGGAAAGAUGUAAAUAAGAUUGAAAGAAUGCGGAGAAAAUUUACAAGUAUGUUGCAGGGUCUGGAGGACCAGAGGUAUAAGGAAAGAUUGAAUAGGUUAGGACUUUAUUCCUUGGCACAUAGACGAUUGAGGAGAUUUGAUAGAGGGAUACAAGAUUAUGAAGGGUAAUGAUAGGGGGAGAUGCAAGCAGGCUUUUCGACUGACGUUGGGUGGGAAUACAACUCGAGGUUAUAGGUAAAAGGUAAAAUGUUCAAGGGGAACAUGAGGGGCAACUUCUUCACUCAGAAUGGUGAGAGUGUGGAAUGAGCUCGAUUUCAACAUUGAAGAGAAGUUUGGACAGGCACAUGGAUGGUAGGGAUAUGGAGGGUUAUGGUCCUGGUGCAUGUCGAUGGGAAUGGGCAGUUUAAGCGGCUCAGCGUGGACUAGAGGGGCCAAAUAGCCUGUUUCCCUGCUGUAGUUUUGUAUGACUCCAUGACUCCAAAGUGCCUGCCUACGUUCACCCUAUCAAGAUUCAAGAUCGCUUAAUGUCAUUUCUUGCAAACAACUGUAAAGGAGAACAAAAUAAUUGUUACUCCAGAACUGGUGCAGCUCAGGAAACACAAUAAGGGGCGGACUGGCCCUCGAUCUCCCACCACAGACCCACCCUCGACUGGCGGACGCCGGAGGUUCUGACCCAAAGGCCCAGGGUCACCGACCACAGUCGCUGGUGCUGAUUGGACGAUUGGAGGGGGUGGGGCCAUGUUUCAGGAUGGGAUGGGUUGGAGGGUGGGGGUGGGGGAGAGAACCUCACAGCACCAUAUCUGGCCUAGUUACUGACUCCACCCUGUUACCUUGGCUCCUCCAUUGUUAGCCAGCCAAUGGUGUUCGUUGACUCUUCCUGCCCCUCCUGGGGUCGCCACUCCCCCACCCCCACCUGAACC
RNA transcript from Hypanus sabinus (Atlantic stingray), 3289 nucleotides. It is a transcript of the gene named coiled-coil domain-containing protein 120-like, with no coding region annotated. The transcript has 11 exons. NCBI's taxonomy places the organism in Eukaryota, Metazoa, Chordata, Chondrichthyes, Myliobatiformes, Dasyatidae. The record is from RefSeq and is a predicted model, not a curated record.